Long non-coding RNA from Nematostella vectensis (starlet sea anemone), 522 nucleotides. RefSeq lists it as uncharacterized. The record is from RefSeq and is a predicted model, not a curated record. The transcript is spliced from 2 exons. Lineage: Eukaryota; Metazoa; Cnidaria; Anthozoa; Actiniaria; Edwardsiidae.
UGUCAAAAACAAACAUGGCGGCCGUAGUUGAAUUAUUUGAAGGUGAUGGUUAAGACUGUAAUUUAACGUCAUUCCUGCCUUUCUUGUCAAUAAUAAAUCGAGCCACAUUCGAUAAUUAGCUAUCUGAAUGCAAGGUUUCGCUUCGAAGUCCGUUCGUUAUCAGUUCAACUUUCACGAUAUAUCAUCUGAUCAACACACCAAACGCCACUGCUUCGGAAUUUAUCCGCACUUCGCUACGAGUAGCAUUGUCUCCAAUGACUUCAUGAAUAACAUUUCUAGACUAAACUUCGUCCGUCAAGAGGAGGAGUCAGUUUUUUGAAUGUCUAUAAGCAAAAUCACCGAAGGAGGGCUAGAGGGCUCUUUUUCCAUCAAUGAUAUCUGGGUCGACUGGUUGUCCCCAGGGAAUCAAUCAGAUGGGCAUAGACUUACCUGAAGCAGUUAUUUUAACAUCACAGUAGUAACAUUGUUUACACUUGUCUAAGACAAAAUACCCUAUGUAUAAAUAAAACCACAUAAAGCCAA